UGAGAGUCUCUUGGACAGCAAGGAGAUCAAACCAGUCAAUCUUAAAGGAAGUCGACCCUGAAUAGUCAUUGGAAGGUCUGACGCUGAAGUUGAAGGUCCAAUCCUUUGGCCACCUGAUGUGAAGAACUGACUCACUGGAAAACAGCCUUAUGCUGGGACAGAUUGAGAGAAGAAGGAGAAGCGGACCGCUGAGGAUGAGGUGGCUGGAUGGCAUCAGUGACUCAAUGGACACGAGUUUGAGCAAAUUCAAGAGAACGUGAAGGACAGGGAAGCCUGCUAUGCUGCAAUCCAUGAGGUUGCAAAAGAGUCAGACACGAUUUAGCGACCGAACAAUAGCAAAAUCGAGAUAGUGUGUGUGAAGCAUCUAGCCCAUGGCUCAAACCUAAGUGCUACUUUACUGCCGGCAACCGCGCUCUAAAGUGAUACAGUAUGACUGCUGAGUACACUGCUAGAGCCUCUUGGCUGGUGAUUCAACUAAGAUAAAUUAUGACAGAGACUUUCACAACAGUGGCGGGUGUGCUUGGUAUUAAUACAGAGAAGAGCAAGGGUCCCACCGGUCCUAAUCAUAAUGGUUGAUCCCAUGUUCAGUUACUCAAUGAUCAGUGGCAGAAACAUCCGGGCAAGAGCCACUCCUUUUUACCAUGGGCAUUAAUUCACCGAUCGGUGUGAAACUAGAUGCUUUACUUAAGCUUUCUGCCAGAAGUUCCAUUUCUGUGAGGGGGCUUCUAAGCGAUCCUUUGUAGGACAUACUGAGCUGCUGGGAUAGAGUAUGUCCAAAGGAAACUCUGGUCUGUUCCCAGCAUAAUGCUUCAUGCAGUCUUCCCCUAAGAAGAAAGAGUAAAGACUGGGACAAAUACAGAAGGAUGUGCUUUGGAGGAUCUGCCACGGAGGAUGCUCAUUUCAAGUCAAUGUCACAGGUUCACUUCAUCUUCUCACCCUAUCACGUGUCCAAGGGAUGAACGUUUGGCUAUUUUAGCGAUGAAAAUGGCACCUCAGACCGCUUAAUUCCAUUUUUUGUCCAGCUUCGAAGAUGGAGGUCCUGGUGUCAUCUGCACCUGCCUUGCAAGCUCUGUACUCGGGGCAUCACUAACCCCUCUGAUUCUUUCUUCUCUUCCUCCCUCCCCUUCUAUUUCUCCCCUCCUUUUCCCUCCUCAUCUGCUCNNNNNNNNNNNNNNNNNNNNNAUAUUAAACACGAAUUUCCUCAAGAGCCCCCCUCCCUUUCUCACUUAAGUACAAACAUCCUUAACUGACUUUCAAGACACCUUUAAGGGUAACUUUCAAGAUACCUUUUCUUAGGUUCUUUACUGGCAGUUCUUUACUGUAACCUUAGUUAAAUAUUAACCUGGUAAUUAAUAUUAACCUAUUUAUGUAAUCCCCCCAGGCAAUUUGUGAUUCCUGAAUAGGUAACAUUUAACUUUAGAAGCCACCCCCAUAUCU
RNAcentral lists this long non-coding RNA (1437 nucleotides) under Capra hircus (goat). RNAcentral's name for it is "lncRNA (ENSCHIG00010015179.1)". Lineage: Eukaryota; Metazoa; Chordata; Mammalia; Artiodactyla; Bovidae. The record is from RNAcentral.